ACUUGUUCUUUAAAUGAGGACUAGUAUGAACGGCAUCACGAGGGUUACACUGUCUCCCACCUCUAAUCAGUUAAACUGAUCUCCCCGUGAAGAAGCGGGGAUAUAAAUAUAAGACGAGAAGACCCCAUGGAGCUUUAAACCCAGCACCAAUUAUCUAUAAUCACAUCAUAAAAGCCCGAUAAUACUGGCUGCCGGUUUUAGGUUGGGGUGACCACGGAGUACAACACAACCUCCAUGAUGAAAGGCUCUCCCUUUAAUCCAAGAGUUACAACUCUAAGAAUCAAAAACUGACAUACAUUGACCCAAAUAUUUUGAUCAACGAACCAAGUUACCCUGGGGAUAACAGCGCAAUCCAUUUCAAGAGCUCCUAUCGACAAAUGGGUUUACG
This 388-nucleotide ribosomal RNA is filed under the name Elachistocleis bicolor (two-colored oval frog). RNAcentral's name for it is "partial 16S ribosomal RNA". It matches the Rfam family "Bacterial large subunit ribosomal RNA", at positions 1967 to 2522 of the family's 2925-position model. Lineage: Eukaryota; Metazoa; Chordata; Amphibia; Anura; Microhylidae. The record is from RNAcentral.